RNAcentral lists this ribosomal RNA (468 nucleotides) under uncultured bacterium. RNAcentral describes it as "partial 16S ribosomal RNA". It matches the Rfam family "Bacterial small subunit ribosomal RNA", at positions 28 to 507 of the family's 1533-position model. The record is from RNAcentral.
GACGAACGCUGGCGGUGUGCUUAACACAUGCAAGUCGAACGGAAAGGCCCUGCUUUUGUGGGGUGCUCGAGUGGCGAACGGGUGAGUAACACGUGAGUAACCUGCCCUUGACUUUGGGAUAACUUCAGGAAACUGGGGCUAAUACCGGAUAGGAGCUCCUGCUGCAUGGUGGGGGUUGGAAAGUUUCGGCGGUUGGGGAUGGACUCGCGGCUUAUCAGCUUGUUGGUGGGGUAGUGGCUUACCAAGGCUUUGACGGGUAGCCGGCCUGAGAGGGUGACCGGCCACAAUUGGAAUGAGGUACGGCCCCAGCUCCUUACGGGGGGAGGAGGUGGGGAUUAUUCAACAUGGGCGGGAGCCUUGUGGCGCCACGCCGGGGGGCGGAUUGCGGCCUUCCGGUUGGUAACCGCUUUCGGCUGGGACGGAGCGUGGGUUACGGUAAAGGGUUAAGGAGGAACGGCCAAAUAAGGG